AUGGCCCUGCGGUGUACGUGAUGUGGCCACUACGUUUUGAGCCAACACGUACCGAAUGGGAACUCACCUCGGAUGGGGGACGCGUUAGGCUUCGGCCAAGGCGGAACUCGUCGGGAAGUUCCCACCUGCGCGAGCAGGUUCAAAACUCCGCCACACACGGCACGGCGGGGCUCAC
Molecule: non-coding RNA, 175 nt
Filed under: Gammaproteobacteria bacterium RBG_16_66_13
Lineage: Bacteria; Pseudomonadati; Pseudomonadota; Gammaproteobacteria
Description: 6S RNA
Rfam family: 6S / SsrS RNA
About the family: E. coli 6S RNA was the first non coding RNA to be sequenced, but its function was unknown until recently. It consists of 184 nucleotides that fold into an extended hairpin structure with a large single-stranded internal bulge.
Source: RNAcentral